GGACGCGUAGCUCAGCGGGAGAGCACUACGUUGACAUCGUAGGGGUCACAGGUUCAAUCCCUGUCGCGCCCACCA
This 75-nucleotide transfer RNA is filed under the name Pseudanabaena biceps. Its description in RNAcentral is "tRNA-Val". It matches the Rfam family "tRNA". Rfam says of the family: Transfer RNA (tRNA) molecules are approximately 80 nucleotides in length. Their secondary structure includes four short double-helical elements and three loops (D, anti-codon, and T loops). Lineage: Bacteria; Bacillati; Cyanobacteriota; Cyanophyceae; Pseudanabaenales; Pseudanabaenaceae. RNAcentral also lists the same sequence under 1 other name. The record is from RNAcentral.